CUACUUACCUGGAUGGGGUCAAUGGAUGAUCAAGAAGGUCUAUGGCCUAGGUUGGUGACCUCCAUUGCACUUUGGAGGGGUGUCAACCUAAGGUCUCCCCAAGUGGGAGAGCCUACAUCAUAAUUUGUGGUAGUGGGGGUUUGCGUUCGCGCAGCCCCUCU
Lupinus angustifolius (narrow-leaved blue lupine) is the source of this 161-nucleotide small nuclear RNA. It matches the Rfam family "U1 spliceosomal RNA". Rfam says of the family: U1 is a small nuclear RNA (snRNA) component of the spliceosome (involved in pre-mRNA splicing). Its 5' end forms complementary base pairs with the 5' splice junction, thus defining the 5' donor site of an intron. There are significant differences in sequence and secondary structure between metazoan and yeast U1 snRNAs, the latter being much longer (568 nucleotides as compared to 164 nucleotides in human). Lineage: Eukaryota; Viridiplantae; Streptophyta; Magnoliopsida; Fabales; Fabaceae. The record is from Rfam.